Molecule: long non-coding RNA, 692 nt
Filed under: Elaeis guineensis (African oil palm)
Lineage: Eukaryota; Viridiplantae; Streptophyta; Magnoliopsida; Arecales; Arecaceae
Description: long non-coding RNA (EGUI_LNC035543)
Source: RNAcentral
AAGGUAACUUCUCAGAUUUUCGAUAUUGGAUUGAUACCUAGAAGAGUUAUCCAAAUUCUCCACCUUAGUUAUAUACUGAAAAGAAUUCUUGGGACCUGGCCAAUCGGUGCUCCUCAUUCUCAGACGGGUCGAGUGAAGGUCGAGAAUGAUGAUGAAGGGGCUAAUUUUUCAAGAACCUCUCAAUAUGGCCAACCGAUGGUCCUCAUCUCCAAACGAGUCGAGCAGAGACCAAGGAUGACAUUAGCAACCUACAAGAAUACUCCCAUAAAAUGGCCUUAUAUUAACCUCGGACGAACCCUCAUCGGUCUCCCCCCAAGUCACAUUGAUGAUCAAGAAAAGACAAUGUUACUGACUUGGCAAAGGCAAAAUUUGUUGCCAAGGACCGGUUUGGGACCUACCUCAUAUACUGUAACUUUGGAUAUAAUGACCAAGAAUCCCGACUUUACCGCUAGCUCGUUCUAUUGAUCGAUCCAAUGGACAUGUAGAAUAAAUAAAUGGCCAAUCUUGAAGAUUGAGAUCAUUCAGUACAAGAGAUAGUAAAGAAAUUUAUCUCAUUUAAAGAAGGUUCGUGCUUAUUUCAUUCAAAAAAAUUCAUUAUAAAUCAAUUUCAUUCAAAGAAAGUCUGUUCACAAUGAAAAAGAAAGCAAAAAAUACAAGUUUGACUGACAUCCUUAGGUGUGGCCUCGGUAGCA